Molecule: ribosomal RNA, 788 nt
Filed under: Actinomycetes bacterium
Lineage: Bacteria; Bacillati; Actinomycetota; Actinomycetes
Description: bacterial SSU rRNA
Rfam family: Bacterial small subunit ribosomal RNA
Source: RNAcentral
ACCGGUUUCGGCCGGGGAUGAGUGGCGAACGGGUGAGUAACACGUGGGUAAUCUGCCCUGCACUCUGGGAUAAGCCUUGGAAACGGGGUCUAAUACCGGAUAUCACAGCUUCAGGCAUCUGGGGUUGUUGAAAGUUCUGGCGGUGCAGGAUGAACCCGCGGCCUAUCAGCUUGUUGGUGGGGUAAUGGCCUACCAAGGCGACGACGGGUAGCCGGCCUGAGAGGGUGACCGGCCACACUGGGACUGAGACACGGCCCAGACUCCUACGGGAGGCAGCAGUGGGGAAUAUUGCACAAUGGGCGCAAGCCUGAUGCAGCGACGCCGCGUGAGGGAUGACGGCCUUCGGGUUGUAAACCUCUUUCGCCAGGGACGAAGCGCAAGUGACGGUACCUGGAUAAGAAGCACCGGCUAACUACGUGCCAGCAGCCGCGGUAAUACGUAGGGUGCGAGCGUUGUCCGGAAUUAUUGGGCGUAAAGAGCUCGUAGGCGGUUUGUCGCGUCGGCCGUGAAAUCUCCACGCUUAACGUGGAGCGUGCGGUCGAUACGGGCAGACUUGAGUUCGGUAGGGGAGACUGGAAUUCCUGGUGUAGCGGUGAAAUGCGCAGAUAUCAGGAGGAACACCGGUGGCGAAGGCGGGUCUCUGGGCCGAUACUGACGCUGAGGAGCGAAAGCGUGGGGAGCGAACAGGAUUAGAUACCCUGGUAGUCCACGCUGUAAACGUUGGGCGCUAGGUGUGGGCGACAUCCACGUUGUCCGUGCCGUAGCUAACGCAUUAAGCGCCCCGCCUG